This 253-nucleotide ribosomal RNA is filed under the name uncultured bacterium. RNAcentral describes it as "partial 16S ribosomal RNA". It matches the Rfam family "Bacterial small subunit ribosomal RNA", at positions 524 to 776 of the family's 1533-position model. The record is from RNAcentral.
UACGUAGGGGGCCAGCGUUGUCCGGAAUCAUUGGGCGUAAAGCGCGCGUAGGCGGUCAGGUAAGUCCGGUGUGAAAGUCAAAGGCUCAACCUUUGAAUGCCGCUGGAUACUGCUUGACUUGAGUCCGGAAGGGGCGAGUGGAACUCCUGGUGUAGCGGUGAAAUGCGCAGAUAUCAGGAGGAACACCAAUGGCGAAGGCAGCUCGCUGGAACGGUACUGACGCUGAGGCGCGAAAGCGUGGGGAGCGAACAGG